AAGGAGGCCCAGGAGUAGGCUGGGGAGAGGCCCGUGGCAAAGAACCUGACGAAAGGGGCUUUGCAGGGUCCAGAAUGAAGAGGAGGCAAUGAGAAUUAUCCCUGGAGGAUUCUAGAAGUAGAGGCUGGGAGUAUCCACAGGUAAAUCGAGCCUGAACUAUGACUAGAAAGGAAUUGGGAGAAAGAGACACAGGUGAAUCGAGCCUGAACUAUGACUAGAAAGGAACUGGGAGAAAGAGACACAGGAAACUGUGAGCUUUGGGAGCAAUGGGGACACCACCACCAGGAAGUCAGGGGGCACUCAGCCGGUGUGUGCCACACAGAGGAGCCUAGAAACUUCCUGGCCUUGGUUGGGGCUGCAGUGGCCAGACUGUGUACCUGGUGGCCAAGGAAGGUAACUAGAGCCCCACGUAGAGGACUGAGUGCCACUCACUCUAUGCUGUGAUCUAAUAGGUCUAGGCUGAGAAAUGGGACUGACCCCACUUCUGGUGACAGAGUAAGCCUGGAGACAAGCGAAGAGCAUGCAGUGUGUUUAUUGCAGACAGCAGGGUGCAGUGGAGUGGGCUGCACCCACUGCACCUGCUUCUGGGCCAGCUGGGGGUCCCGCCAAGCCUCACUGUGGUUCAGAGGCUGGAGUAUGAGCUUGUGGGCCUCCAGCAAGAGCUCAGUACCAAGGGCAGCCGCCACACGGGCCUGCCACACUGCCAGCCGGGGCAGUCUUGGAAGAGGUCGCAGCCAACGGCAGUGGGCUGGGAAGACAGGGCAGCUGGGGUUGGGGCUCAGCCCCAUGCCCAGAGUCCCCCCAGAGGGCAGGUGGGUAGGAAAGCUUCACCUGCAUCACCUCCGUCAGCACCAAGUCUUCCAGGGAGAUCUGCUCCAUUGCCAGGAAGGGCCUGGCCACCAGCACCCCCCAAUCCAGGUGCUGCAGGGCUGGCAUCAGCCUCCCCAACAGCCGCUCCAGCUGUGCAGCAUCUGCAGGCUGUCCGGAGAAGUGGGGCAGGAGAGACUGGGCUGGGAGGAGAGGAGCAACUUAACCCAGACUCUUGGAAGCCUCUUGGGCCUCCUCUCCAUCCCUUCCCGGCUGCCACUCAUUAGUGAUGUCCUCUGGGGCUCUGUGUUCAGAAGGUUUCUAAGGAUUCAUUCAGGCUUAGGGGAAGGAGUACUGUGAUAGAUUAGUUAUGUCUGCUGAGGACAGUGGAAGUGAAGCUAAUAUGUAAUAUGUACCAACUGGUGCCUUCCAUCUCUGGGGGUCCAGGCCCCUGCCCCAGCCUGCAUGACAGGGCCUAGGAAGCUCACCUUGCACAGGUAGACAUUGGUGGCAGGCAGCUGGAUGGUGACAUGCUUCCACGCCAAGUACUCAUCCACGCAGGUGCGGGCUUGCAGCUCAGGUGGGUACCAGUGUCCCCGUAUCUGGUACUUUCGACUCAGGUAUAAAACGAUGACCAUGCUGUGGGCAGGGGGUGUCAGAGAUCUUUUCUCCAGCCUGUCAGGGCCAGGUGGCUUCAUUGCUCAUACUCAGGGUGAUUUGACCAGGUUUUCUCCCCACCUUCACCUUCAGGGGAGGACCUCCCCUAUACUGCAACUCCCUCCAGGCAGUAUCUCCCCACGACCAAACCACUCUGUUUCUCCAUUUCCAACUCUGAUCCUCCCUGGGCCCAUGUUUCCACCUCCCCUCCCAGUUACCAUACCAUCCUGCCCUCUGUGCCCAGGCCCCACUCCCUGGCAUCAGGGUCCCCACUCAGAGUGCCUGCCGUGUGGGCCCUGCCCAAAAGGUCUCCAAGUUCCCUUCCUAGUGCCCCAGAACACUAGGUGCCCAUUUUCUAUCCUCAGGUAAGCCCUGGGAGGUGGAUACAUUAUUCCUCCCACUCCGUUUUACAGAGGAGAAACCUGGCACACAAAGUUCUGUGAUUUCCCCAAGGGCAUGGAUUGAGGAAGUGGUGAGCUGGGAUUGAAUGUGGAGUCUCCCCUGGGUCUGCCCAGCUCCUAGGACUCUGAAAGGAUGAGCUGGGGACAUUUGGGGAGGAGCCAGCCUCAAGCCUGGGCCUUGCCCGCUGGCUUCAGGUUGUCCAGGUUUAUCCGGGUGACCUACGUCCUUUCCCCACCUGGGCAGCUCCAGCUGGCUCAGACUCUAGCCAGGUUCCAGCCUCCAGCUUUAGCCCAAAGGUGCCCCUGGGUCCAGCCUCUGCAUCGGAGCUACACAGGCUGAAAUGAGGAAGGGGCCUCAGUGAUUUGGAAAGAUCUCCAAGCCAAGGAAAGAUCUCCCCUCUCGCCUCUGCCUCCCCCUACAACUCUGAGCCCCAGAACCCAGGCAGAUCCUGGCUCUGACCCUGGGUGGGCACCAGGUCACCAUUACCUCUUUGCUAGUAGGAAGUCGCCAUCUCUGAGGGCAGGCACCUUCCCCAGGGGGUUCACCUUCAGGAACUCAGGCUUCAGGUGCUCCCUUGGUGGGCAGAAAGGAGAGAAGGCUCAGUGUAGGGCCUGGUCCUUGGCACCCACUCCAUGGGGCCCAGCCCAGCCACCUGGCUCACCCCAAGCCAACUCCACCAUCCACAGCUCAAAAGGGAUGUCAUUCUGUCUUGCAAAAGUGGAUAGUGUGUCAGGUCCAGGAAGAGCUCAAGCCCCAUUGCUGCUCCUCUCACCUGCCCUCCCCAGAAUUCUGGACCUCCAGGAGUUGCUCAGCCCUUCUCCACUAGUUCUGAGCUGUUUCCUCUCCAUAGUCUGCUGUAGUGGGCCAGAGCACAGGGCAGAUUUGUCUUCAGGGACUUUCUCUGGGCAUUCCUGGGCAGAGAACUUCAUCUUCUCUGUUAACUCUUGCUGAUAAUUCUCUGUAGCUAGGCACCUUGUAAAACCCAUGUCCCAGAAUGCCAAACCUGGAAAUGCAAUGUCAGCGCCGAAACUGCAUUGAAACUGAAUGAAUGAGGUCCCCACCCUCUUAUCUAAAUAUCCUAUCAGUCUGUUGAAUGUCAAAGUAUGUAGGGGUGGUGUGGGGGAGCCUAUAGGGAGUCUCCAUUUCUGUAGCUUUCCACAUGUUCCAUGCAGAAUUUUCCUCUAAUGACCCUUGGACACCGUGGUGGUCACUGUUUCCCUGCAUAAACCUUUGAUGAUCCUUAUCUUUAGCGUACCAGUGAAACACCAAAUUCAGAUUUUCAGUCUGUGCAGUCUAUGUAGUUAAUAAAAUCAAUUUCUAAUGGAA
Long non-coding RNA from Homo sapiens (human), 3192 nucleotides. RefSeq lists it as uncharacterized. Lineage: Eukaryota; Metazoa; Chordata; Mammalia; Primates; Hominidae. The transcript is spliced from 2 exons. The record is from RefSeq and is a predicted model, not a curated record.